RNAcentral lists this ribosomal RNA (485 nucleotides) under uncultured bacterium. Its description in RNAcentral is "bacterial SSU rRNA". It matches the Rfam family "Bacterial small subunit ribosomal RNA", at positions 30 to 503 of the family's 1533-position model. The record is from RNAcentral.
AUUGAACGCUGGCGGCAGGCCUAACACAUGCAAGUCGAACGGUAGCACAGGAGAGCUUGCUCUCUGGGUGACGAGUGGCGGACGGGUGAGUAAUGCAUGGGGAGCUGCCCAAUCGAGGGGGAUACCAGCUGGAAACGGCUGCUAAUACCGCAUACGCCCUGAGGGGAAAGUGGGGACUUUCGGGCCUACCGCGAUUGGAUGCACCCAUGUGGGAUUAGCUAGUUGGUGAGGUAACGGCUCACCAAGGCGACGAUCUCUAGCUGGUCUGAGAGGAUGACCAGCCACACUGGAACUGAGACACGGUCCAGACUCCUACGGAGGCAGCAGUGGGGAAUAUUGCACAAUGGGGAAACCCUGACUGCAGCCAUGCCGCGUGUGUGAAGAAGGCCUUCGGGUUGUAAAGCACUUUCAGUAGGGAGGAAGGGUUGAGUGUCUAAUACGCAUCAACAUUGACGUUACUACCAGUAAGAAGCAACCGCGUAACC